UAUUUUCAAAAUUAAUUAUUCUUCCAAAUCAAAAAGAAAAAAAGAUGAAGAGAAUUUUCUGCUGCACUUCCCUCCUUUAAUUCUAGUCCUUACAGUCAACACCCCAAGAAGGUGAGCUUCUCUUCUUCUUCUUCUUCUUCUUCUUCUCUAAUGGCGGAUUAAAUAUAUAUCUGGUGAAUUUUUUUGUUCUUUGAGUUUCCGAUUUUGGGUAGCAUCUGUUCACUGAGUUUAAUAAUUGUUAUUUUUUGAUUUUUUUGAGUUAAAAUAUUGAUCUUGAUUUCUUCGGAUUACUUGGGUUUUUGUUUAUGUUUAUGAUGAUUUCAAAUGUUAGGGCAUCCCCAAUUUCUGCAAAUUAUCUCUAUUUUGCAGCACUGUUUCUGUAAUUAUUAUUAUUUUUUUGGGUCAAUUUAUGAAAAGACCCCUGAACUUAGGCUAAAUGACGAAAAACAUCCCACCUAUCCGUAGUUAUCGAAACCCUCCGUUGUUUGUUCCUUCUUACAAUGACCUCCUUACGGUGUGAUUUUUUUGCGGAAUCUUUUUGAUUCCGAUGAGUAUUUUGCGAAAAAUGCUAAUUCUACCCAUGCAGACGCGCCGUUUGUGUAUGCUACUUUCUGAAGAAGACUAAAAUUAACCGAUGAAUAUUUUGCGAAAAUUUCUAAUUCUACCCCUGCGGACGCGACGUUUCUAUAUGCUACUUUUUGAAGACAAAAGUUAAUGUCAGAGGGGUAAUGGUAAUACUAAAAAAUCAAGAAGAAUAGAUAUUCAAUGUAAGACGGAGACAAUCAUCGGUGGGAUUUUGGUGAUUACGGAUAUGUGGGGGUGUUUCUUUGUAAUUUAGCCUAAGUGCAGGGUUGUUUUUGUAAUUUACCCUAUUAUUUAAGUAAAUAAUAAUAAAAGAAACUUUGAUUUUUUGUUGUUUCUCUUAUACAUUUUGUUCUCUUACUAUGUUUGAUAUGUCUAGUCGUAUUCUUACUCGUCUGUUGAAGUUUUAAAGUGCCUAUAAUUCUUCCGCGAUUUUUGCCGUGUGAUCUAUAAUGUGGAAUUCAGUUGCACCGAGCUGAAGCUUUACAAACGAUCUUUUGUUCUUUGAUUGCUUUAUCUAUGAUUAUAAAAAAGAAAUUGUGAAAUAUAUUAACGCGUAUUUCGCAAUGUCUUUUAUUGACAGGGAAGGGAAUAUAUUUAUAUAUGUAAAAUCGGAGUUUUGAUAGACGUGUAGAGAUUGGUGUGAUGAAUUGUUUCACUGUUUGUUUUCGGCAUGAAACUUCUUCCGCAACUAACCCAACAGUGGAUAUAAACGAAG
This 1300-nucleotide long non-coding RNA is filed under the name Erythranthe guttata (spotted monkey flower). RNAcentral's name for it is "long non-coding RNA (EGUT_LNC002656)". Lineage: Eukaryota; Viridiplantae; Streptophyta; Magnoliopsida; Lamiales; Phrymaceae. The record is from RNAcentral.